CACUAAAAAGCUUAAAGUAAGUCUUGGUCUUUUAAACCAAUUAUGGUAAAUCGCCUAUCUUUAGUGA
RNAcentral lists this transfer RNA (67 nucleotides) under Bemisia tabaci. Its description in RNAcentral is "tRNA-Lys". Lineage: Eukaryota; Metazoa; Arthropoda; Insecta; Hemiptera; Aleyrodidae. RNAcentral also lists the same sequence under 1 other name. The record is from RNAcentral.